GAGAAUAAAUAGACUAGGUUGAAUCCAUACGAUGGAAUGUUAGCAGACAAUAAAAAGAAAAUGAACUAUUGAUACCCCCUACUACACAGCAGAAGCUCUGAAUUGUGUUCCUGAAUGAAAGAAGUCAGAGAUGAAAAGAUGGGCCAGGAGUCCAGUUUCUGGAAGGCCAAGAAUCGAAGUAGCAAGCUGCAGCCGUUUUCCAGACAAGCAGGAUGUGGGGUUGCAGAAGAAUUCAGGACUGGAGAGGCUAACUCCAUAAGCAGGGGCUGUCACGAUUCCCAUCUCCUUCAAUAAACCUCUCUCUUUUCAUAUUGUACUGUUCCAUGUUAUAUGUAACUGUUUUAAAGCUACAUACUGGACAAAAGGUG
Molecule: long non-coding RNA, 368 nt
Filed under: Pongo abelii (Sumatran orangutan)
Lineage: Eukaryota; Metazoa; Chordata; Mammalia; Primates; Hominidae
Description: lincRNA
Source: RNAcentral